GAUCCUGGCUCAGGAUGAACGCUAGCUACAGGCUUAACACAUGCAAGUCGAGGGGCAUCAGUUUGGUUUGCUUGCAAACCAAAGCUGGCGACCGGCGCACGGGUGAGUAACACGUAUCCAACCUGCCUCAUACUCGGGGAUAGCCUUUCGUAAGAAAGAUUAAUAUCCGAUAGCAUGUAUUUCCCGCAUGGGCUUUUAUAUUAAAGAAAUUCGGUAUGAGAUGGGGAUGCGUUCCAUUAG
Molecule: ribosomal RNA, 240 nt
Filed under: uncultured bacterium
Lineage: Bacteria
Description: partial 16S ribosomal RNA
Rfam family: Bacterial small subunit ribosomal RNA
Source: RNAcentral